This 273-nucleotide ribosomal RNA is filed under the name uncultured bacterium. RNAcentral's name for it is "partial 16S ribosomal RNA". It matches the Rfam family "Bacterial small subunit ribosomal RNA", at positions 524 to 796 of the family's 1533-position model. The record is from RNAcentral.
UACGUAGGGUCCGAGCGUUGUCCGGAGUUACUGGGCGUAAAGCGCGCGCAGGCGGCCCGCCAAGACCGGCGUGAAAGCCCCCGGCUCAACCGGGGAGGGUCGUCGGUGACUGGCGGGCUCGAGGACGGCAGGGGUCGGUGGAAUGCCCGGUGUAGUGGUGAAAUGCGUAGAGAUCGGGCGGAACACCCGUGGCGAAGGCGGCCGACUGGGCCGGUCCUGACGCUGAGGCGCGAAGGCGUGGGGAGCGAACGGGAUUAGAAACCCCCGUAGUCC